UGCGACUCGGUGUCUAGAUCCAGGAAAUGG
RNAcentral lists this non-coding RNA (30 nucleotides) under Homo sapiens (human). The record is from RNAcentral. Lineage: Eukaryota; Metazoa; Chordata; Mammalia; Primates; Hominidae.